This 463-nucleotide ribosomal RNA is filed under the name uncultured bacterium. Its description in RNAcentral is "bacterial SSU rRNA". It matches the Rfam family "Bacterial small subunit ribosomal RNA", at positions 27 to 507 of the family's 1533-position model. The record is from RNAcentral.
GGACGAACGCUGGCGGCGUGCUUAACACAUGCAAGUCGAACGGUGAAGUGACUUCGGUCAUGGAUCAGUGGCGGACGGGUGAGUAACGCGUGAAUAACCUGCCUGUAUGUGGGGGAUAACAACCGGAAACAGUUGCUAAUACCGCAUAACGUAUAGAGAUCGCAUGUUUCUAUACCAAAGAUUUAUUGCAUACAGAUGGAUUCGCGUCCGAUUAGAUAGUUGGUGAGGUAACGGCCCACCAAGUCGACGAUCGGUAGCCGGACUGAGAGGUUGAACGGCCACAUUGGAACUGAGAAACGGUCCAGACUCCUACGGGAGGCAGCAGUGGGGAAUAUUGGGCAAUGGGCGAAAGCCUGACCCAGCGACGCCGCGUGAGGGAAGAAGGUCUUCGGAUUGUAAACCUUAGUCAACAGGGAAGAAGCAAGUGACGGUACCUGUGGAGGAAGCCACGGCUAACUACGUG